Molecule: ribosomal RNA, 440 nt
Filed under: uncultured bacterium
Lineage: Bacteria
Description: partial 16S ribosomal RNA
Rfam family: Bacterial small subunit ribosomal RNA
Source: RNAcentral
CCUACGGGCGGCAGCAGUGGGGAAUAUUGCACAAUGGGGGAAACCCUGAUGCAGCGACGCCGCGUGAGUGAAGGAGUAUUUCGGUACGUAAAGCUCUAUCAGCAGGGAAGAAAAUGACGGUACCUGACCAAGAAGCCCCGGCUAACUACGUGCCAGCAGCCGCGGUAAUACGUAGGGGGCAAGCGUUAUCCGGAUUUACUGGGUGUAAAGGGAGCGUAGACGGCAGAGCAAGUCUGGAGUGAAAUGCCGGGGCCAAACCCCGGAACUGCUUUUGAAACUGUGCAGCUGGAGUGCAGGAGAGGUAGGCGGAAUUCCUGGUGUAGCGGUGAAAUGCGUAGAUAUUAGGAGGAACACCGGUGGCGAAGGCGGCUGACUGGACUGUAAUUGACGUUGAGGCUCGAAAGCGUGGGGAGCAAACAGGAUUAGAUACCCUUGUAGUC